UUUAUGGAGAGUUUGAUCCUGGCUCAGGAUGAACGCUGGCGGCGUGCCUAAUACAUGCAAGUCGAGCGAACAGACGAGGAGCUUGCUCCU
RNAcentral lists this ribosomal RNA (90 nucleotides) under Staphylococcus epidermidis. RNAcentral describes it as "partial 16S ribosomal RNA". It matches the Rfam family "Bacterial small subunit ribosomal RNA", at positions 1 to 87 of the family's 1533-position model. RNAcentral also lists the same sequence under 1 other name. The record is from RNAcentral. Lineage: Bacteria; Bacillati; Bacillota; Bacilli; Caryophanales; Staphylococcaceae.